This 466-nucleotide long non-coding RNA is filed under the name Homo sapiens (human). Its description in RNAcentral is "TRIM7 antisense RNA 2 (TRIM7-AS2)". Lineage: Eukaryota; Metazoa; Chordata; Mammalia; Primates; Hominidae. The record is from RNAcentral.
ACGGCCGCAGCCAUCUUGCCCGUGCGUCCGUGGCACGGAACGGCCGUUAGUCCCGGCAGAGGGCUCCGCGAAGACAGUGCCGUCGUUGGGCGCGCGCGCGGGCGGGAGCUGUCGGGGCGGGGCGGCACCGCCGAGCUCCGAGCUGCAGGACUUUGAAAUGACCCUGUCCUCAGCCUGGAGGAUGCGGUAUUCUGAUUGUCUGGUGCUGUGUCAACUGGGCCUGCCUCUGGGAUAGUGUUGUGGCUGCCCCACGAGAACCCUAUAUGCCAGUUCCAGAAGCAAAAACAAAAAAAGUUCGGGUACAGCGGCUCACACCUGUAAUCCCAGCUCUUAGGGAGAUGGAAACUGGAGGAUCACUUGAGGCCAGGAGUUCAAGACCAGCCUGGGCAACAUAGCAAGACCCAGUCUCUUAAAAGAAAAUUAAAAAGAAAGAGUAAAUAAAGUUCCAGAAGCUUUGCUCUCCUUA